AUGGAGGGAGCGGAGCACGCAAUGGAGCCUGUAGCCGUCGUGGCGGUGCCGUUCCCGGCGCAGGGACACCUCAACCAGCUGCUGCACCUGUCGUUGCAGCUCGCGUCGCGCCGGGUGGACGUGCACUACGCCGCGCCCGAGCAGCACAUCCGACAGGCGCGCUCGCGCGUGCAUGGCUGGGGCGAGGAGGCGCUCCUGUGUCCUGUCCAUCCAGUUCCACGACCUCGCCAUCCCCAGCUACGUCUCCCCGCCCCCAGACCCCACCGCCGACUCGCCCUUCCCAUCCCACCUCAUGCCCAUGUUCAUGGCCUACAUCGCCGGCGCGCGCGCUCCGCUCGCGGCGCUCCGCUCGUACCCCAUGAACGCCUUCGCCGCCGAGGAGGCCGCGCGGCUGCCCAACGGUGAGGCGCUCGGGCUGCACUGCUUGGCCGUGUCAAUGCUCGUUGGCAGAAUAGACGCCAGUCACCGGCUACUGCGAGAGAACGGCCUCGUCUACAGCGCCAUCGAGCACUGUGCGACCAAGGAGUUUGUGGAGUACGCCAGACGGGCCAGACCGUCGACAGAGAUCUCGCCUGGCGCAAACACAUGCCGCGCGCUCGAGGGUGAUUUCAUCGACGUUGUCGCCGGGCACCUGGCUGCCGACGGCAAGAAGCUCUUCGCCAUCGGGCCGUUAAACCCGCUGCUCGACGCCAGCGCGUCAGAGCAGAGCAAGCAGCGGCACCAGUGCCUGAACUGGCUCGACGAGCAGCCUCCAGCGUCGGUGCUGUACGUGUCCUUCGGCACGACGUCGUCCCUGCGAGCAGAGCAAAUUGAAGAGCUCGCAGCAGCACCGCGCGGCAGCAACCAACGAUUCAUCUGGGUGCUGCGCGUCGCCGACCGUGGCAACAUAUUCGCGGAGGCCGGUGAGAGCCGCCACGAGAAGCUGCUCUCAGAGUUCACGAAGCACACGGAAGGGGCGGGGCUGGUGAUCACCGGAUGGGCGCCGCAGCUGGAGAUCCUAGCGCACACUGCCACGGUGGCGUUCAUGAGCCACUGCGGCUGGAACUCGACCAUGGAGAGCCUGAGCCACGGCAAGCCGAUUCUGGCCUGGCCCAUGCACUGCGACCAGCCGUGGGACGCGGAGCUUGUCUGCAACUUCCUCAAGGCCGGCAUCCUCGUGCGCCCCUGGGAGAAGCACAGUGAGGUGAUCACGGCGAAGGCCAUCCAGGAAGUCAUCGAGGAGGUCAUGCUCUCCGACAAAGGAAUGGCCGUGCGGCAACGGGCAAGUGCGCUCGGGAAGGCCAUCCGCGCCUCCGUGGCUGACGGCGGUUCGUCGCGCCAGGACCUAGAUCUUUUCACUGCUUACAUGACUAGGUGAUCGACAAAAUGCCAUCUGUAACGAUGGCUUUUCAUGCCGACACAGUUCAGCCAGUCUGAUUCUAGAUUACCAGUAAUCGUGCACGUGCCAAUGCAUGUAUUAAC
Hordeum vulgare subsp. vulgare (domesticated barley) is the source of this 1461-nucleotide RNA transcript. It is a transcript of the gene named putative cis-zeatin O-glucosyltransferase, with no coding region annotated. NCBI's taxonomy places the organism in Eukaryota, Viridiplantae, Streptophyta, Magnoliopsida, Poales, Poaceae. The transcript has a single exon. The record is from RefSeq and is a predicted model, not a curated record.